CCUACGGGAGGCAGCAGUGGGGAAUAUUGGACAAUGGGCGAAAGCCUGAUCCAGCCAUGCCGCGUGUGAGAAGAAGGCCUUCGGGUUGUAAAGCACUUUCAGUGGGGAAGAAAGCCUUGGGGCUAAUACCCUCGAGGAAGGACAUCACCCACAGAAGAAGCACCGGCUAACUCCGUGCCAGCAGCCGCGGUAAUACGGAGGGUGCGAGCGUUAAUCGGAAUUACUGGGCGUAAAGCGCGCGUAGGCGGUCUGAUAAGCCGGUUGUGAAAGCCCCGGGCUCAACCUGGGAACGGCAUCCGGAACUGUCAGGCUAGAGUGCAGGAGAGGAAGGUAGAAUUCCCGGUGUAGCGGUGAAAUGCGUAGAGAUCGGGAGGAAUACCAGUGGCGAAGGCGGCCUUCUGGACUGACACUGACGCUGAGGUGCGAAAGCGUGGGUAGCAAACAGGAUUAGAUACCCGGGUAGUC
This 465-nucleotide ribosomal RNA is filed under the name Vreelandella stevensii. RNAcentral describes it as "partial 16S ribosomal RNA". It matches the Rfam family "Bacterial small subunit ribosomal RNA", at positions 338 to 795 of the family's 1533-position model. The record is from RNAcentral. Lineage: Bacteria; Pseudomonadati; Pseudomonadota; Gammaproteobacteria; Oceanospirillales; Halomonadaceae.